RNAcentral lists this ribosomal RNA (428 nucleotides) under Verrucomicrobiota bacterium. RNAcentral describes it as "Verrucomicrobia bacterium partial 16S ribosomal RNA". It matches the Rfam family "Bacterial small subunit ribosomal RNA", at positions 355 to 776 of the family's 1533-position model. The record is from RNAcentral. Lineage: Bacteria; Pseudomonadati; Verrucomicrobiota.
UAGGGAAUAUUCCACAAUGAGCGAAAGCUUGAUGGAGCGACACAGCGUGCACGAUGAAGGUUUUCGGAUUGUAAAGUGCUGUUAUAAGGGAAGAACAUUUGCAAUAGGAAAUGAUUGCAGACUGACGGUACCUUGUCAGAAAGCGAUGGCUAACUAUGUGCCAGCAGCCGCGGUAAUACAUAGGUCGCAAGCGUUAUCCGGAAUUAUUGGGCGUAAAGCGUUCGUAGGCUGUUUGUUAAGUCUGGAGUUAAAUCCCGGGGCUCAACCCCGGCUCGCUUUGGAUACUAGCAAACUAGAGUUAGAUAAAGGUAAGCGGAAUUCCAUGUGAAGCGGUGAAAUGCGUAGAUAUAUGGAAGAACACCAAAGGCGAAGGCAGCUUACUGGGUCUAUACUGACGCUGAGGGACGAAAGCGUGGGGAGCAAACAGG